Molecule: non-coding RNA, 270 nt
Organism: Lagopus muta (rock ptarmigan)
Lineage: Eukaryota; Metazoa; Chordata; Aves; Galliformes; Phasianidae
Source: the annotation of a RefSeq genome assembly
AUGGCGGCCGUGACGUUGGACGAGUCUGGGGGCGGCCUGCAGACGCCCGGAGGGGGGCUGAGCCUCGUCUGCAAGGCCUCCGGAUUCACCAUCAGCAGUUAUGGCAUGCUGUGGGUCCGACAGGCGCCCGGCGAGGGGCUGGAGUGGCUCGCAGGUAUUGAGUAUGAUGGUAGUGACCCAGUCUAUGGGGCAGCAGUGCAGGGCUGUGCCCCCAUCUUGAGGGACAACGAUCAGAGCACGGUGAGCCUGCAGCUGAACACACAGGGCUGA